This 497-nucleotide ribosomal RNA is filed under the name uncultured bacterium. RNAcentral describes it as "partial 16S ribosomal RNA". It matches the Rfam family "Bacterial small subunit ribosomal RNA", at positions 28 to 507 of the family's 1533-position model. The record is from RNAcentral.
GAUGAACGCUGGCGGCGUGCCUAAUACAUGCAAGUCGAGCGAACGGACGAGAAGCUUGCUUCUCUGAUGUUAGCGGCGGACGGGUGGGUAACACGUGGAUAACCUACCUAUAAGACUGGGAUAACUUCGGGAAACCGGAGCUAAUACCGGAUAAUAUUUUGAACCGCAUGGUUCAAAAGUGAAAGACGGUCUUGCUGUCACUUAUAGAUGGAUCCGCGCUGCAUUAGCUAGUUGGUAAGGUAACGGCUUACCAAGGCAACGAUGCAUAGCCGACCUGAGAGGGUGAUCGGCCACACUGGAACUGAGACACGGUCCAGACUCCUACGGGAGGCAGCAGUAGGGAAUCUUCCGCAAUGGGAGAAAGCCUGACGGAGCAACGCCGCGUGAGUGAUGAAGGUCUUCGGAUCGUAAAACUCUGUUAUUAGGGAAGAACAUAUGUGUAAGUAACUGUGCACAUCUUGACGGUACCUAAUCAGAAAGCCACGGCUAACUACGUG